UUCUUUUCUGAUUGGUCAGCUGCGAAU
RNAcentral lists this non-coding RNA (27 nucleotides) under Homo sapiens (human). The record is from RNAcentral. Lineage: Eukaryota; Metazoa; Chordata; Mammalia; Primates; Hominidae.